UACAGAGGAUGCAAGCGUUAUCCGGAAUGAUUGGGCGUAAAGCGUCUGUAGGUGGCUUUUUAAGUCCGCCGUCAAAUCCCAGGGCUCAACUCUGGACAGGCGGUGGAAACUACCAAGCUGGAGUACGGUAGGGGCAGAGGGAAUUUCCGGUGGAGCGGUGAAAUGCGCAGAUAUCAGGAGGAACACCAAUGGCGAAGGCAGCACUCUGGGACGUGACUGACGCUGAGACGCGAAAGCGUGGGGAGCAAACAGG
This 253-nucleotide ribosomal RNA is filed under the name uncultured bacterium. Its description in RNAcentral is "partial 16S ribosomal RNA". It matches the Rfam family "Bacterial small subunit ribosomal RNA", at positions 524 to 776 of the family's 1533-position model. The record is from RNAcentral.